GACGAACGCUGGCGGCGUGCUUAACACAUGCAAGUCGAACGAUGAAGCCUAGCUUGCUAGGUGGAUUAGUGGCGAACGGGUGAGUAAUACGUGAGUGACCUACCUUUGACUCUGGGAUAAGCCUGGGAAACUGGGUCUAAUACCGGAUACGACCAAUCUCCGCAUGGGGUGUUGGUGGAAAGCGUUAUGGAGUGGUUUUAGAUGGGCUCACGGCCUAUCAGCUUGUUGGUGAGGUAAUGGCUUACCAAGGCGACGACGGGUAGCCGGCCUGAGAGGGUGACCGGCCACACUGGGACUGAGACACGGCCCAGACUCCUACGGGAGGCAGCAGUGGGGAAUAUUGCACAAUGGGCGCAAGCCUGAUGCAGCGACGCCGCGUGAGGGAUGACGGCCUUCGGGUUGUAAACCUCUGUUAGCAUCGAAGAAG
RNAcentral lists this ribosomal RNA (427 nucleotides) under Rothia dentocariosa. RNAcentral's name for it is "bacterial SSU rRNA". It matches the Rfam family "Bacterial small subunit ribosomal RNA", at positions 28 to 450 of the family's 1533-position model. The record is from RNAcentral. Lineage: Bacteria; Bacillati; Actinomycetota; Actinomycetes; Micrococcales; Micrococcaceae.